GAUGAACGCUGGCGGCGUGCCUAAUACAUGCAAGUCGAGCGAACAGACGAGGAGCUUGCUCCUCUGACGUUAGCGGCGGACGGGUGAGUAACACGUGGAUAACCUACCUAUAAGACUGGGAUAACUUCGGGAAACCGGAGCUAAUACCGGAUAAUAUAUUGAACCGCAUGGUUCAAUAGUGAAAGACGGUUUUGCUGCCACUUAUAGAUGGAUCCGCGCCGCAUUAGCUAGUUGGUAUGGUAACGGCUUACCAAGGCAACGAUGCGUAGCCGACCUGAGAGGGUGAUCGGCCACACUGGAACUGAGACACGGUCCAGACUCCUACGGGAGGCAGCAGUAGGGAAUCUUCCGCAAUGGGCGAAAGCCUGACGGAGCAACGCCGCGUGAGUGAUGAAGGUCUUCGGAUCGUAAAACUCUGUUAUUAGGGAAGAACAAAUGUGUAAGUAACUAUGCACGUCUUGACGGUACCUAAUCAGAAAGCCACGGCUAACUACGUG
RNAcentral lists this ribosomal RNA (497 nucleotides) under uncultured bacterium. RNAcentral describes it as "partial 16S ribosomal RNA". It matches the Rfam family "Bacterial small subunit ribosomal RNA", at positions 28 to 507 of the family's 1533-position model. The record is from RNAcentral.